This 66-nucleotide transfer RNA is filed under the name Anthocephalum grabatum. Its description in RNAcentral is "Alveobothrium grabatum tRNA-Ser". The record is from RNAcentral. Lineage: Eukaryota; Metazoa; Platyhelminthes; Cestoda; Rhinebothriidea; Anthocephaliidae.
GUAGAAAUGCCAGAGUGUCCAUGGGAUUGGUUUAGGACCAAUUUACGGUUGUUAAACCUUUCUACU